AAGAGGAGCGCUAAAUGCAGUCGAGCGGACAGAUGAGGAGCUUGCUCCUCUGAUGUUAGCGGCGGACGGGUGAGUAACACGUGGGCAACCUACCUGUAAGACGGGGAUAACUCCGGGAAACCGGAGCUAAUACCGGAUAAUAAAGAGAAACGCCUGUUUCUUUUUUGAAAGUCGGUUUCGGCUGACACUUACAGAUGGGCCCGCGGCGCAUUAGCUAGUUGGUGAGGUAACGGCUCACCAAGGCGACGAUGCGUAGCCGACCUGAGAGGGUGAUCGGCCACACUGGGACUGAGACACGGCCCAGACUCCUACGGGAGGCAGCAGUAGGGAAUCUUCGGCAAUGGACGAAAGUCUGACCGAGCAACGCCGCGUGAGCGAUGAAGGCCUUCGGGUCGUAAAGCUCUGUUGUCAGGGAAGAACAAGUACCGGAGUAACUGCCGGUACCUUGACGGUACCUGACCAGAAAGCCACGGCUAACUACGUGCCAGCAGCCGCGGUAAUACGUAGGUGGCAAGCGUUGUCCGGAAUUAUUGGGCGUAAAGCGCGCGCAGGCGGUUCUUUAAGUCUGAUGUGAAAGCCCACGGCUCAACCGUGGAGGGUCAUUGGAAACUGGGGAACUUGAGUGCAAGAGAGAAAAAUGGAAAUCCCCGUGUAGCGGUGAAAUGCCUAAAGAUGUGGAGGAACACCAGUGGCGAAAGGCGCCUUUUGGGCUGUUACUGACGCUUAAAGCCGAAAGCGUGGGGAGCAAAAAAGAUUAAAUACCCCGGUAGUCCACCCCCUAAAACCAUGAAUGCCAAGUGUUGGGGGGGUCCACCCUCAGUGCUGAACCUUAAACAUUUAAGCACUCCGCCCGGGGAGAACGGCCGCCAGGGUGAACCUCCAAAGAAUUACGGGGGCCCCCCCCAACA
RNAcentral lists this ribosomal RNA (908 nucleotides) under Fictibacillus solisalsi. RNAcentral's name for it is "bacterial SSU rRNA". It matches the Rfam family "Bacterial small subunit ribosomal RNA", at positions 37 to 931 of the family's 1533-position model. The record is from RNAcentral. Lineage: Bacteria; Bacillati; Bacillota; Bacilli; Caryophanales; Fictibacillaceae.